This 239-nucleotide ribosomal RNA is filed under the name uncultured Glomus. RNAcentral describes it as "partial 25S ribosomal RNA". It matches the Rfam family "Eukaryotic large subunit ribosomal RNA", at positions 331 to 572 of the family's 3401-position model. The record is from RNAcentral. Lineage: Eukaryota; Fungi; Glomeromycota; Glomeromycetes; Glomerales; Glomeraceae.
AGACCGAUAGCGAACAAGUACCGUGAGGGAAAGAUGAAAAGAACUUUGAAAAGAGAGUUAAACAGUACGUGAAAUUGUUGAAAGGGAAACGAUUGAAGUCAGUCGUGCUGGCGCGAAAUCAACCCUCUCGUCGGGAGACCCAUGUUGUGGCGAGCCUCAAAACCGCCACAGCAUGUGUCUCACGAUGAGGGGGAGCACUUUCAUGUCCGCUGGUUAACAUCAAUUUCGAACGUCAUAAA